GAAAUCGUACCCCAAACCGACACAGGUGGUCAGGUAGAGAAUACCAAGGCGCUUGAGAGAACUCGGGUGAAGGAACUAGGCAAAAUGGUGCCGUAACUUCGGGAGAAGGCACGCUGACACGUAGGUGAAGUGAUUUACUCAUGGAGCUGAAGUCAGUCGAAGAUACCAGCUGGCUGCAACUGUUUAUUAAAAACACAGCACUGUGCAAACACGAAAGUGGACGUAUACGGUGUGACGCCUGCCCGGUGCCGGAAGGUUAAUUGAUGGGGUCAGCGCAAGCGAAGCUCCUGAUCGAAGCCCCGGUAAACGGCGGCCGUAACUAUAACGGUCCUAAGGUAGCGAAAUUCCUUGUCGGGUAAGUUCCGACCUGCACGAAUGGCGUAAUGAUGGCCAGGCUGUCUCCACCCGAGACUCAGUGAAAUUGAACUCGCUGUGAAGAUGCAGUGUACCCGCGGCAAGACGGAAAGACCCCGUGAACCUUUACUAUAGCUUGACACUGAACAUUGAGCCUUGAUGUGUAGGAUAGGUGGGAGGCUUUGAAGUGUGGACGCCAGUCUGCAUGGAGCCGACCUUGAAAUACCACCCUUUAAUGUUUGAUGUUCUAACGUGGACCCGUAAUCCGGGUUGCGGACAGUGUCUGGUGGGUAGUUUGACUGGGGCGGUCUCCUCCUAAAGAGUAACGGAGGAGCACGAAGGUUGGCUAAUCCUGGUCGGACAUCAGGAGGUUAGUGCAAUGGCAUAAGCCAGCUUGACUGCGAGCGUGACGGCGCGAGCAGGUGCGAAAGCAGGUCAUAGUGAUCCGGUGGUUCUGAAUGGAAGGGCCAUCGCUCAACGGAUAAAAGGUACUCCGGGGAUAACAGGCUGAUACCGCCCAAGAGUUCAUAUCGACGGCGGUGUUUGGCACCUCGAUGUCGGCUCAUCACAUCCUGGGGCUGAAGUAGGUCCCAAGGGUAUGGCUGUUCGCCAUUUAAAGUGGUACGCGAGCUGGGUUUAGAACGUCGUGAGACAGUUCGGUCCCUAUCUGCCGUGGGCGCUGGAGAACUGAGGGGGGCUGCUCCUAGUACGAGAGGACCGGAGUGGACGCAUCACUGGUGUUCGGGUUGUCAUGCCAAUGGCACUGCCCGGUAGCUAAAUGCGGAAGAGAUAAGUGCUGAAAGCAUCUAAGCACGAAACUUGCCCCGAGAUGAGUUCUCCCUUGGACUUUAAGUCCACUGAAGGAACGUUGAAGACGACGACGUUGAUAGGCCGGGUGUGUAAGCGCAGCGAUGCGUUGAGCUAACCGGUACUAAUGAACCGUGAGGCUUAACCUUACAACGCCGAAG
This 1322-nucleotide ribosomal RNA is filed under the name Salmonella enterica subsp. enterica serovar Adelaide. RNAcentral's name for it is "partial 23S ribosomal RNA". It matches the Rfam family "Bacterial large subunit ribosomal RNA", at positions 1638 to 2925 of the family's 2925-position model. The record is from RNAcentral. Lineage: Bacteria; Pseudomonadati; Pseudomonadota; Gammaproteobacteria; Enterobacterales; Enterobacteriaceae.